AUGUCACUGGUAUACUUGUUUUGGGGUGGUGCAGCGACUGCGCCCAACUACAGAGCCAUGGGGGUCACUGGGGAGCCCAUCCCCCCUCUGCCCAGCCUGCUGGACACCUCCACCUGGGGCAGCACCCGCUCCCUGCCCCCCCACACCGAGAGCUUCGCCAUUGCCAGCCUGGGAGCCAGCACGACAGACCUCUCCAGACAGACCUCACCCUUGAUGAGAGACUCCUCCCUCGAGGAGACUGGGACGCACGUGGGCGUGUCAGAGUUCACCACAGCCAGCUCCGGAGAGAGACGGACCACAGUGACCAGCCAGGAGGGCGUGGGCUCUACCUACACCGUACCCACCACCAGCCAAGAAAGGGAGGAGGUGGAAGAGAGAGAGAGUUUAGAGAAGAAGAACAUGGAGUAUCUCGAAGGGGAGAGAGGGAUGUCGCUGGCUGCUGACAGGAAAGAAGAGUUGGAAAGGUCCGAUCAGGGUAGCUGUGCUGGUGUGGAUGUCGACCUGAUUGAUGAAGAUCCUCUGGAUGCUAGCUCCUCUGUUUUAGAGGGAGAAGAUGAACUUGUGUCAGAUGAGGAAGAGUUGCCUGGCGAAGAGGAGACAGACCAUGAGGAUGAAGAUGUGAUUAAUGAUCAAGUGCUAACUGACGAAGAGGUCUCUGUGGCCAGUACACAGCAGGCAGAGACAUCAGGAGCUCACCAUGGCAGCACACACAGUGAAGAUUACCUUUCAGGCUGUGGUCCAGACACAGAGGGAGCUGCAGCAUCUGUACAGCAGAGCCAGGCCAAAGGCCUGUCUGGGGGCCCAGACUCACUGGAGGAGACUGAUAGAGCUCACUCUACUCUGGAUGAGGUGCUGCAGGGCAUGUUGGUGGAAAGGGCCGCUGGUCAAAGGGUUCUGAAAAGUCCAGGUCUGGUUGCACACCCCAAACAGCAACUGGGUGUGUGUGAGCCCCAGGUGGAGGGCGAGUUGAGUGAGGAUGCAGGUUGUCCAGGAGGGGACCGUGCCGAAGUGGCAGAACGAAAGGGGGUCGACACCAAUGACUGGACAGAACCAGCACCUGUCGCAGAAAAGCUAGAAAUGGCUAGUCAUGAGACCUGGAGUCAGCCUCACAGGUGUGUUUUUAUUUUUUACAUUUUAUUUAUACACACACAGUUGAAGUCAGAAGUUUACAUACACCUUAGCCAAAUACAUUUAAACUCAGUUUUUCACAAUUCCCGACAUUUAAAUCCUAGUAAAAAUUCCCUGUCUUAG
Molecule: long non-coding RNA, 1251 nt
Filed under: Oncorhynchus kisutch (coho salmon)
Lineage: Eukaryota; Metazoa; Chordata; Actinopteri; Salmoniformes; Salmonidae
Description: lncRNA (ENSOKIG00005046368.1)
Source: RNAcentral